UCCCAAAACCAGCGAUUAACGGGAAUUCUGGGCGUAAGCGCACGCAGGCGGUUUGUUAAGUCAGAUGUGAAACCUUUAGGCACAACCUGGGAACUGCAUCUGAUACUGGCAAGCUUGAGUAAAGUAGAGGGGGGUAGAAUUCCAGGUGUAGCGGUGAAAUGCGUAGAGAUCUGGAGGAAUACCGGUGGCGAAGGCGGCCCCCUGGACGAAGACUGACGCUCAGGUGCGAAAGCGUGGGGAGCAAACAGGAUUAGAUACCCUGGUAGUCCACGCCGUAAACGAUGUCGACUUGGAGGUUGUGCCCUUGAGGCGUGGCUUCCGGAGCUAACGCGUUAAGUCGACCGCCUGGGGAGUACGGCCGCAAGGUUAAAACUCAAAUGAAUUGACGGGGGCCCGCACAAGCGGUGGAGCAUGUGGUUUAAUUCGAUGCAACGCGAAGAACCUUACCUGGUCUUGACAUCCACGGAAGUUUUCAGAGAUGAGAAUGUGCCUUCGGGAACCGUGAGACAGGUGCUGCAUGGCUGUCGUCAGCUCGUGUUGUGAAAUGUUGGGUUAAGUCCCGCAACGAGCGCAA
RNAcentral lists this ribosomal RNA (574 nucleotides) under uncultured Gammaproteobacteria bacterium. RNAcentral describes it as "bacterial SSU rRNA". It matches the Rfam family "Bacterial small subunit ribosomal RNA", at positions 527 to 1101 of the family's 1533-position model. The record is from RNAcentral. Lineage: Bacteria; Pseudomonadati; Pseudomonadota; Gammaproteobacteria.